CCUACGGGGGGCAGCAGUGGGGAAUAUUGCACAAUGGGGGAAACCCUGAUGCAGCGACGCCGCGUGAGCGAAGAAGGCCUUCGGGUUGUAAAGCUCUGUUGUAAGGGACGAAUGUCGCGAUCAAUAAUACGGAUUGCGAAUGACGGUACCUUACCAGCAAGCCCCGGCUAACUACGUGCCAGCAGCCGCGGUAAGACGUAGGGGGCGAGCGUUGUCCGGAAUUACUGGGCGUAAAGAGCACGUAGGCGGGACCUUAAGUCAGGUGUGAAAGACCGCGGCUCAACCGCGGGGUUGCACCUGAAACUGGGGUUCUUGAGGGCAGGAGAGGAAAGCAGAAUUCCUGGUGUAGCGGUGAAAUGCGUAGAAAUCAGGAGGAAUACCAGUGGCGAAGGCGGCUUUCUGGACGACAACUGACGCUGAGGCGCGAAAGCCAGGGG
RNAcentral lists this ribosomal RNA (437 nucleotides) under uncultured bacterium. Its description in RNAcentral is "bacterial SSU rRNA". It matches the Rfam family "Bacterial small subunit ribosomal RNA", at positions 338 to 766 of the family's 1533-position model. The record is from RNAcentral.